GCGCAUGCAGGCCGGCCUGUUAAGUCAGAUGUGAAAGCCCCGGGGCUUAACCUCGGAAUUGCAUUUGAAACUGGCAGGCUAGAGUCUUGUAGAGGGGGUAGAAUUUCAGGUGUAGCGGUGAAAUGCGUAGAGAUCUGAAGGAAUACCAGUGGCGAAGGCGGCCCCCUGGACAAAGACUGACGCUCAGAUCGCGUAAAGCGUGGGGAAGCCUAAACCCAGGAUUAGAUACCCCUCGGUAG
Molecule: ribosomal RNA, 239 nt
Filed under: uncultured bacterium
Lineage: Bacteria
Description: partial 16S ribosomal RNA
Rfam family: Bacterial small subunit ribosomal RNA
Source: RNAcentral